UCCUGAAGGCAGCAAUCAGCUCCAUGGUGUCGGUGACGGAUGUGCUUACCAUGAUGUCCCACCCCCUCAACUCCGAGCUGCCCCUCUACCAUUUCAAGUGAGCGAGGGCAUCAGUCUGCUUUCGUCUGGGUUAUUUGUAGAGUGCUUUUUGUAACAGCAGAAGAUUCUGCUUCAUUGGCUGCCGGUAUUUUGUUUGGGUGAGAAGCACUAGGUUGAUGCCCAUAAACACCGAAACUGUCCUUGAUCCUGAUCCUGAACUGUAGUUAUUGCUGGAUUGGAAAAUGCAUGUUUUCGACCUUGGUCGGCUGCAGUUUAAAGUGCAAAACCCGUCUGAUCGAGAUCGAGUCAAGCUAGUUGUAGUAUUGGUGGCAGUAUUCCCGUUUUCAAGAGGUCUCUAGAAUAUCCAUAGAUGCCAUAUGAGAGUCAAGCUAAUCCAUCCCAAAUUACAAGAUGUUUGACUUUUUUUACAUCAAAUUUG
Molecule: long non-coding RNA, 478 nt
Filed under: Sorghum bicolor (sorghum)
Lineage: Eukaryota; Viridiplantae; Streptophyta; Magnoliopsida; Poales; Poaceae
Description: long non-coding RNA (SBIC_LNC016809)
Source: RNAcentral